GUUGAUUUCAAUUUCUUUGAAGAAAAUUUUUCCAAUUAUGAGGGCAGGAUUGAGUACAAUCCAACAAACGUUAACCCCAGAAGCAGCAACAGUAUUAAACCAUUCAAUAGCUGAAGCAAGUCGCCGGAAUCAUGGACAAACGACGCCGUUACAUGUGGCGGCGACUUUAUUGUCGUCGCCGUCAGGGUAUCUCCGGCAAGCUUGUAUCCGUUCUCACCCGAAUUCAUCACACCCACUUCAGUGUCGUGCACUUGAGCUGUGUUUUAGCGUUGCUUUAGAAAGAUUACCCACUGCUCAAAAUAUGCUUCAAGGUACAGA
RNAcentral lists this unclassified non-coding RNA (318 nucleotides) under Hevea brasiliensis (rubber tree). Lineage: Eukaryota; Viridiplantae; Streptophyta; Magnoliopsida; Malpighiales; Euphorbiaceae. The record is from RNAcentral.